GGACGAACGCUGGCGGCGUGCUUAACACAUGCAAGUCGAGCGGUAAGGCCCUUUCGGGGGUACACGAGCGGCGAACGGGUGAGUAACACGUGGGUGACCUGCCCUCAGCUCUGGGAUAAGCCUGGGGAAACUGGGUCUAAUACUGGAUAUGACUCCACGGUGCAUGUCGUGGGGUGGAAAGCCUUGUGCGGCUGAGGAUGGG
This 202-nucleotide ribosomal RNA is filed under the name uncultured bacterium. Its description in RNAcentral is "partial 16S ribosomal RNA". It matches the Rfam family "Bacterial small subunit ribosomal RNA", at positions 27 to 229 of the family's 1533-position model. The record is from RNAcentral.